Molecule: long non-coding RNA, 1449 nt
Filed under: Homo sapiens (human)
Lineage: Eukaryota; Metazoa; Chordata; Mammalia; Primates; Hominidae
Description: NUP107 divergent transcript
Source: RNAcentral
UUCAACGCCUUUAGAACAAUGGCAGUCACAUAGUAGGUACUCAAUGUUUGGAGUACGAAUAAUGUACUCUUAUUAUUCAAAGACCAGCUAGAAAGUUACCUUCUUUGAGGGGUCUUCCUGAUAGUUACAGUGACAAGGAGACUUAAUCGCCCCCAAACACUUACCACUUUACACUGCUUGGUUGUCUCCAUUACACAACUAAUUCCCCGAGGGGAAGGAUCUUGAAUAACUGAUCUUUGUUGUAGGCGGCUAGCACAGUACCCAGAUCAUAGAGGGAACUCAGAAUCUGAUGCUGGCACUUGUAAUCAGAAAGUCUGGGCUGAGAUCCCAGUAUCUUCACUGACUGGCUUUGUGAUCUCAGGCUGGUCACUUAGCAUUUCGAACGCCGCGCUACCUACCCCGCCCACCCCAGGAGCGAACAGUGUUGCUGCCCCAAAGCGCCGAAUAGAUCGCAGAACGUAGUGGGAAAGUAAGGGACUAUUAUGAUCUGUACCCCACCCCGACGCACGCCAAGCGGCUUUUUCCCCAUUUGUGGCCAAAUUUCCCGGCAUGGGGAAGGAGCCUUAGGGGAAGCACCCGGGACCUCCUUGGCUUCUUCUGGGAGUCUAGUUUCACCUAUUUCGUUUCGCCAACAGGCGAGACGGGCAAGACUUCGGGCUCAGCUGCCACCAUCAGUACUGACCUGUCCAUGGCUAAAGCCUUUUCCACACACAACCAAAGUUGGCUGCAGUUUAGCUACCGCGUUUUAGCCUUCCCGCUCUCCGGAAGCAAGCCCUUCGACCCGGAAGCAGUCUGUCCCUAAAACAGACCCACAGAAAAGGGGUUCAGGUACUCCAUGUGAUAUAUGGUUCCACAAUCCUCAGCGUGUUAACUGAAGCCUUGUUGAGUUUAACAAAGCUGCCAUUGAAGAUCUGGGGAAAGUGAAGAAGUUGCAACAGAGUUUUGGGCUCACACCAUUGAUACAUUUGAUCCUUAAGGCCCACCCCGCCUCACUCCCACCCUCUUCUACUUAAUUCAGGAUGUGAAUAGCACAUGCCUUCCAUCUUCAGACAAACACUGAGGCCUGGACAAUGACCUGCAUUAGGUAGAUAGAAUCUACUGAAAGCUAAAAGCCUUUUCCUGUGUCUUAGCAGCACGGAAGCCACGCCUCCUUCCCCCCAAUGUUUGUGCAAACCCUAGAGAAGAGGAGACAGCCCCUAUGAUGUGUGAGGUUGAAUUUCCUGCCCUCAACCCAUCAAAUCAGGCAGAAUGAGGGCUCAGUCAGAACUACAACUACAAAAGAGAAAAAUUUUAAUGUGACUUUUCUUGUCUGCUCAGAUUUUUGGGUUAAGGUUCAUGCCAGCUACAUUCUUUGCAUAAUAAAAUAUAAAUAGAGUAUAAAUUGUUCUAGUUAGAGAAAACAGCAAAACAGUGCUCUCCCAAGGGCCCUAAUAAAUCACUUUACAGAAA